RNAcentral lists this ribosomal RNA (253 nucleotides) under uncultured bacterium. Its description in RNAcentral is "partial 16S ribosomal RNA". It matches the Rfam family "Bacterial small subunit ribosomal RNA", at positions 524 to 776 of the family's 1533-position model. The record is from RNAcentral.
UACGGAGGGUGCAAGCGUUAUCCGGAUUUACUGGGUUUAAAGGGUGCGUAGGUGGGUAGGUAAGUCAGUGGUGAAAUCUUCGAGCUUAACUCGGAAACUGCCAUUGAUACUAUCUGUCUUGAAUACUUUGGAGGUAAGCGGAAUAUGUCAUGUAGCGGUGAAAUGCUUAGAUAUGACAUAGAACACCAAUUGCGAAGGCAGCUUACUACACAGUCAUUGACACUGAGGCACGAAAGCAUGGGGAGCAAACAGG